AUGCAGCGCAGGGUUCCCCCACCACACCCCAUAGCUGUCUCCCCCGGCCCCUCGCAGACCCCUCCCUCCACCUCCGAAAUGCUCAAGUUUACCUCUUUCUCCAGAGCAAAGUUCAGAAGCCAACCCCUUGUCACCACUGUGGACAGGAACGUGGACCAGCCACCCUGUUUCCAGCCUGGGGGCGAGGCAUACAGUGGAAAGGACACAAGGAUGACGCAGUCUUCCUCCCGGAGCUCCCGAGAGAACAGGGGGCUUAGUGGAAACACCACACACCUGGCUGGAUCUUGUCAGGUGGAGACACCGGGGGCCGUUUCUUUCCAGUCCUGGAAGACCUGGAGUUCCUUCUCGGCAGCUUUGCUCGGCCUGCUUCGGAGCGGUAAGUCCGGCUCCUCCUGCCACAUCUUCGCAGGCUGAUUCU
RNAcentral lists this long non-coding RNA (418 nucleotides) under Aotus nancymaae (Ma's night monkey). RNAcentral describes it as "lncRNA (ENSANAG00000038753.1)". Lineage: Eukaryota; Metazoa; Chordata; Mammalia; Primates; Aotidae. The record is from RNAcentral.